Molecule: ribosomal RNA, 411 nt
Filed under: uncultured microorganism
Description: bacterial SSU rRNA
Rfam family: Bacterial small subunit ribosomal RNA
Source: RNAcentral
GAGUUUGAUCAUGGCUCAGAUUGAACGCUGGCGGCAUGCCUUACACAUGCAAGUCGAACGGCAGCAUGAUCUAGCUUGCUAGAUCGAUGGCGAGUGGCGAACGGGUGAGUAAUACAUCGGAACGUGCCCUGUAGUGGGGGAUAACUAGUCGAAAGAUUAGCUAAUACCGCAUACGACCUGAGGGUGAAAGUGGGGGACCGCAAGGCCUCAUGCUAUAGGAGCGGCCGAUGUCUGAUUAGCUAGUUGGUGGGGUAAAGGCCCACCAAGGCGACGAUCAGUAGCUGGUCUGAGAGGACGAUCAGCCACACUGGGACUGAGACACGGCCCAGACUCCUACGGGAGGCAGCAGUGGGGAAUUUUGGACAAUGGGCGAAAGCCUGAUCCAGCAAUGCCGCGUGUGUGAAGAAGGCC